This 2064-nucleotide long non-coding RNA is filed under the name Malus domestica (apple). RNAcentral's name for it is "long non-coding RNA (MDOM_LNC017161)". The record is from RNAcentral. Lineage: Eukaryota; Viridiplantae; Streptophyta; Magnoliopsida; Rosales; Rosaceae.
GCUCAAAGCUUCUGAGUUGGCUCUGGAAAAGCUGGAUGCCGGUGAUACAGAAGAAGGAAUCAAAGAAACUCUUAAGACAAUCUCUAAAUCCGAUUCUCAAAGCAUUGAUGCAGUUUCAAAAGAUGAAAUUGUUGCUGACCAAACACACCUUGAGGCAUCUUAUGCUUUGCUUCCCAUGGAAGAGGAGCUCAAAACUUAUCAAGAAGAUCGUGAAACUACAACCCAAGACAGAUUUAUAGAGGAAGAGUAUGCCAAGAAAACAGAAGUGCCAGCUGAUGAAAAUGGGAGCGAUUUGGUUGCUGCAACAUUGGCAGAAGAGACACUGCUGAAGGAAGAGCCCGGGGAGCUCAAAGUUUCUGAAUUGGCUCCAGAAAAUCUGGAUGCUGGUGAAACGAAAGAAGAAAUAAAAAAAUCUUUUGAAAAGGUGUCUAAAUCUGAUUCUCAAAGCACUGAAGUUGUUUCGGGAGAUGAGACCACUGCUUACCAGACAGAGCUGGUGGGAGAUAAGGCCGUGGAGGAAAGCUUUCAAGUGCAAAGCCUUGAGGAAGCAGAACCAAAAUUGAGAGUUGAAGAUGAGAGUCGCGAAUCAGAAGACCAUCCUGAAAAUAACAACAUGAUAGUUGAAGAGGUAUGCAAUAUACAAUAUACAAUAUGAUGACCAUAAGCAUGUGACACCAUGCACCGUUAUAUAGAAACUCUAAUUUCGUAUUCUCUAACUCUUCCUUUUCUUUGCGAAGCCUCAACUGCUACAACAGGUCCUGGAUGAGCCAAAGAGCACUGACGGAGAUUCCAGUGAAGGACAAACCACAAAACGCAGUGCUGCAAUUUGUGCACCAGAAAUAAUUGAAGAAGGAACUGCUAAGCACUCUCAAGACUGUGACAAAGAGACAGAAAACUCACAGGAAGAGGUCAGCUUAUAAAGCCUACUUUGUCUCUAGGGGAAUUAUUGUUUGCCUGUUUCGAUUAUAAACUUAUUUUUUGUACAGAUACUUAAAGAGCCAGAGAUCGCUGGAGUAGGUGAGAGCACCACAUAUGAAACGAAUCAGAUCGCUGAAACACCUGAAGAAUUUUUUGAUGCUUCACCAGUGAAGUAUGAAGAAGGACAGCCGGGAGAAGGUAGCAGUCAAGAUUCAGCAAAAGCUUCAAAGGAGGAGGAUGUUACUGAAGACGAUGACAAUAAUGAUGCAGUCACAGUUACUGAAUCAAAUGCAGAGGUAACAUCAAAAGGGGAAGAAGAUUCAGCACAGCCUUCGGAGAAAUAUGAACCUGAAGAAGAGAAGGUACCUGUCAAAAUUAGUGACGUAGCAGAUGCAAAAGAGGUUUGCGACGUGGAGGAUAAAUCUUCUUUUCCCGAAAAGACAACAGAAGAGACAAGCUUGCAAACAGAAGGGCAUGCGGAGGUUUCUGAAUUGGCUCCGGAAAAGCUAGAUGUUGAAGCUACUGAAGAAGAAUUCAAAGAAGGUUCUGAAAUAGUUCGUGAAUCUGAUUCUAGGAGCAUUGAUGUAGUUUUGAAAGAUAAGAUCGCUACUAGACAGACACUCGACGAAGGGAUAUCACAAGAGCAAGUUGAAAUCCCAUCUUCUACAUUGCUUACUGAGGCAAAGGAGAUUGAACCUUCUCAACAUGAGCAUGAAACUCCAACCAAUGACAAGAAUAUAGAAGAAGAGCAUGAACAGGAAAUGCCAGCUGAUGAAAACGCAGGAGAUUUAUCUGCUGUGAGGUCAGAAGACGAGACACCCUUGCCAAAGGAAGAGUCCGAAGAGCUCAAACCUUCUGCGUUGGCUCUGGAAAAGCUGGAUGCAGGUGAUACAGAAGAAGAAAUCGAAGAAACUUUUAAGACAAUCUCUAAAUCCGAUUCUCAAAGCACUGAUGCAGUUCCAAAAGAUGAAAUUGUUGCUGAUCAAACACACCUUGAGGCAUCUUAUGCUUUGCUUCCCAAGGAAGAGGAGCUCAAAACUUAUCAAGACGAUCAUGAAACUACAACCCAAGACAAAGGUGUAGAGGAAGAGUAUGCCAAGGAAACAGAAGUGCCAGCUGAUGAAAGUGGGAGAGAUUUGGUUGCAC